RNAcentral lists this ribosomal RNA (253 nucleotides) under uncultured bacterium. RNAcentral's name for it is "partial 16S ribosomal RNA". It matches the Rfam family "Bacterial small subunit ribosomal RNA", at positions 524 to 776 of the family's 1533-position model. The record is from RNAcentral.
UACGUAGGGUGCAAGCGUUAAUCGGAAUUACUGGGCGUAAAGCGUGCGCAGGCGGUUUUGUAAGUCUGUCGUGAAAUCCCCGGGCUCAACCUGGGAAUUGCGAUGGAGACUGCAAGGCUAGAAUCUGGCAGAGGGGGGUAGAAUUCCACGUGUAGCAGUGAAAUGCGUAGAGAUGUGGAGGAACACCGAUGGCGAAGGCAGCCCCCUGGGCCUGCACUGACGCUCAUGCACGAAAGCGUGGGGAGCAAACAGG